GGUGUAGCUUAAGUGGGAGAGUGCAUACUUAGUAUGCAUGAGAUCCUGGGUUCAAUCCCCAGUACC
RNAcentral lists this transfer RNA (66 nucleotides) under Camelus bactrianus (Bactrian camel). It matches the Rfam family "tRNA". Rfam says of the family: Transfer RNA (tRNA) molecules are approximately 80 nucleotides in length. Their secondary structure includes four short double-helical elements and three loops (D, anti-codon, and T loops). The record is from Rfam by way of RNAcentral. RNAcentral also lists the same sequence under 2 other names. Lineage: Eukaryota; Metazoa; Chordata; Mammalia; Artiodactyla; Camelidae.